Gallus gallus (chicken) is the source of this 852-nucleotide long non-coding RNA. The record is from Ensembl. NCBI's taxonomy places the organism in Eukaryota, Metazoa, Chordata, Aves, Galliformes, Phasianidae.
UGUAACCUCAAACAUCCAGAUAGAAAAGAGCAAAUGUUGAAAAUAUUGCCAGUGUUUCUCCACUUACCCCUACAAAGCCAUAAGAGGUUGCCAAGGACACCUUGGAUGGGCUCUGCCAGCACACAGCUCUUUGCUCUUUCCUUGGCGGUUUGUGACACGACUGAGGGGUGACCCAGCAGCAGCAGUGAGGAGAGCACCCUUGCCACCUGCUUGGGCCUUUGUGUGGACACACUGGGAAGACUAGGAAUUGCUCAACCACCGUGGAGCCUGGAACACGAGUGCUCUCCAGUACCCUGUGAAGUUGCACUGCAGCUAUCAUGAGAAAUGAAACAAUGCUCUUCAUCCUGGUUCCUGGAAAAAGACAGAAAUAUGGUAUUUCACCAGAAAAGUCUGUCCAAGUAGGAACUGCAAGGCGACUGCCCUGCCUGGGGAAAGAAAUUGGCAGCAGCUGUAAGUUCCUGUUGACCAUAAAAGCAACUAUUUGCAGAGAAGGGGAUGCAGAGGCUAUGGCUGCUACCUCCCAGUGCCCACGACAGCUAUGUCUAGCCAUAGCAGCAGCAUCCUGCAGGUUCAUCUGCUGACUGCCUCCUUAUUCUUGUGCAUCACGGCUGAGAUACUUCAGAGUCCUUGCCCUCAUGUUACUGAAAUGCUGAGCUUGGUUUCUUUGCUCAGUGAGUCAGAUCAGCUUCAGAGGCAGAAACAGUGAAAUAUACAUACUGCUUUGCAUUUUUAAUGCUUAUAAAUAGGCAUUUACCAAAUGGGCAGGGAGCCUUUAAGCAGCAGAACAAAUGUUAUAGCUUUAUGACUAAUCGUUGCAACAAAUUCUUACUGUGGAGUUCUGAUUAAUAAACC